This 454-nucleotide ribosomal RNA is filed under the name uncultured bacterium. Its description in RNAcentral is "bacterial SSU rRNA". It matches the Rfam family "Bacterial small subunit ribosomal RNA", at positions 29 to 506 of the family's 1533-position model. The record is from RNAcentral.
AUGAACGCUGGCGGCGUGCCUAACACAUGCAAGUCGAACGAACCCGAUCUUCGGAGAGGGUUAGUGGCGGAUGGGUGAGUAACACGUAGGUGACCUACCCCGAUGUGGGGGAUAACUACUGGAAACGGUAGCUAAUACCCCAUGUGAUCGCCGUAUCGAGCGGUGAUGAAAGGCGCAAGUCGCGUCGGGAGGGGCCUGCGGCCCAUCAGGUAGUUGGUGGGGUAACGGCCUACCAAGCCGAUGACGGGUAGCUGGUCUGAGAGGAUGGUCAGCCACACUGGAACUGAAACACGGUCCAGACUCCUACGGGAGGCAGCAGUGAGGAAUAUUGCGCAAUGGGCGAAAGCCUGACGCAGCAACGCCGCGUGGGUGAAGAAGGCCUUCGGGUCGUAAAGCCCUUUUCUGGGGGACGAGGAAGGACGGUACCUCAGGAAUAAGUCUCGGCUAACUACGU